GGGUUGCUAACUCAACGGUAGAGUACUCGGCUUUUAACCGACUAGCUCCGGGUUCGAAUCCCGGGCAACCCA
This 72-nucleotide transfer RNA is filed under the name Thunbergia erecta. RNAcentral's name for it is "tRNA-Lys". It matches the Rfam family "tRNA". Rfam says of the family: Transfer RNA (tRNA) molecules are approximately 80 nucleotides in length. Their secondary structure includes four short double-helical elements and three loops (D, anti-codon, and T loops). RNAcentral also lists the same sequence under 4 other names. Lineage: Eukaryota; Viridiplantae; Streptophyta; Magnoliopsida; Lamiales; Acanthaceae. The record is from RNAcentral.